Non-coding RNA from Dipodomys ordii (Ord's kangaroo rat), 65 nucleotides. The record is from Rfam. NCBI's taxonomy places the organism in Eukaryota, Metazoa, Chordata, Mammalia, Rodentia, Heteromyidae.
GGUGGCUCAGUGGUAGAGUACUUGCCUUGCAUGCACGAGGCCCUGGGUUCGAUUCCUCAGCACCA